UACGUAGGGUGCGAGCGUUGUCCGGAAUUAUUGGGCGUAAAGAGCUCGUAGGCGGUCUGUCGCGUCGGAUGUGAAAACUCGGGGCUCAACCCCGAGCCUGCAUUCGAUACGGGCAGACUAGAGUUCGGUAGGGGAGACUGGAAUUCCUGGUGUAGCGGUGAAAUGCGCAGAUAUCAGGAGGAACACCGGUGGCGAAGGCGGGUCUCUGGGCUGACACUGACGCUCAGGCACGAAAGCGUGGGGAGCAAACAGG
This 253-nucleotide ribosomal RNA is filed under the name uncultured bacterium. RNAcentral's name for it is "partial 16S ribosomal RNA". It matches the Rfam family "Bacterial small subunit ribosomal RNA", at positions 524 to 776 of the family's 1533-position model. The record is from RNAcentral.